AUUGAACGCUAGCGGGAUGCCUUACACAUGCAAGUCGAACGGAGUGGCGAACGGGUGAGUAAUGUAUCGGAACGUGCCCAGUAGCGGGGGAUAACUACGCGAAAGCGUAGCUAAUACCGCAUACUAUUGGAGCGGCCGCUACCGGAUUAGCAAGUUGGGGGGGUAACGGCUUCCCAAGGCGACGAUCCGUAGCUGGUUUGAGAGGACGAACAGCCACACGGGGACUGAGACACUGCCCGGACUCCUACGGGAGGCAGCGGUGGGGAAUUUUGGACAAUGGGGGAAACCCUGAUCCAGCCAUGCCGGGUGUGUGAAGAAGGCCUUCGGGUUGUAAAGCACUUGCAGCGAGGAGGCGUUACUCGCAGAAGAAGCACCGGCUAACUCCGUGCCAGCAGCCGCGGUAAUUC
Molecule: ribosomal RNA, 407 nt
Filed under: uncultured bacterium
Lineage: Bacteria
Description: partial 16S ribosomal RNA
Rfam family: Bacterial small subunit ribosomal RNA
Source: RNAcentral